Molecule: ribosomal RNA, 587 nt
Filed under: uncultured bacterium
Lineage: Bacteria
Description: bacterial SSU rRNA
Rfam family: Bacterial small subunit ribosomal RNA
Source: RNAcentral
ACGGUUGAGUAACGCGUGAGAAUCUGCCCUUUAGUGAGGAAUAUCUUCGAGAAAUCGAAGUUAAUACUGCAUACGUCCUUAUAGAGAUAUAAGGAGAAAGGUGGCCUCUUUGCUACCGCUAAAGGAUGAGCUUGCGUACUAUCAGCUAGUUGGUGGGGUAAUGGCCUACCAAGGCUAUGACGGUUAACCGGCCUGAGAGGGUGUACGGUCAGACUGGAACUGAGAUACGGUCCAGACUCCUACGGGAGGCAGCAGUGGGGAAUAUUGCGCAAUGGGCGAAAGCCUGACGCAGCGACGCCGCGUGAAGGAUGAAGGCCUACGGGUUGUAAACUUCUGUUAAGCGGGAAGAAAAUUUUAUCUCUAAUACAGAUAAACAUGACGGUACCGCUAGAGAAAGCACUGCCUAAACUCGUGCCAGCAGCCGCGGUAAUACGAGUGGUGCAAGCAUUAUUCGGAAUCAUUGGGCGUAAAGGGUGCGUAGGUGGCAUAUUAAGUCUACUGUUAAAUAUCUCGGCCUAACCGAGAGACUGCGGUGGAGACUGGUAAGCUAGAGGAUGGGAGAGAGAAGUGGAAUUCUCGGAGUAGCG